UUUAGCAGAGAGAAGCAGAGAGACGUGAGCAGAGUGAGAGAGAAGCAACAAGUGACCGCUGGUCUUUUCCUUGAAGAAAUCAAUUUAUUUGAAUUAUUUUGAAGUUAUGGUGGAAACUGGAGCUGGACUGGUAAACAGAGAAAGGACAGAAGAGCAAAAGAAAGCAAACAGGAGAGUGACAGAGCCCAGUCUGAAGCACUUCAGGAUAGCUUCUCAGAGAUGGAGAGAACUAAAGGAGUUAAAAUGACUGAAAACAGAUGCUGGGUGGAUCCUCUUCCUUGAAACGGAUAAUGUGGCAUCGUGUCCUCCUCCAUGUCAGAGACCAGCACCGCUGCUCUUUUGGAAGCUGUGACCACGGGCCACUUGAUGAGAGCAGCAGAGAUAAGCCAUGGAUGGUGUGAGGCUCUCCAUCACAUCAGGCUUGUGCAUCCAUCAUCCCUGAUAAACGCUGACUGAAGGAUGUGGAGAAGUUUACCAACUUUCAAGAGAAAUCCUUGGAAGAUGGUUGAAAUCUGGGAAGAGACUUCCCAAAACAAGAACACUAAGACCUGAUGACCAAAGGGGACUUGGACAGAACUAGCACAAGACCGCAUCCAAUGCAGAUAAAUGUGUACACAUAACCUGCCUGUAUGAAAAGUGUUAAGUUGUAUCAUCAUACACCGUGUAACAGAUAUGUGAAUAAUGUGAAG
This is a long non-coding RNA of Notolabrus celidotus (New Zealand spotty), 689 nucleotides long. RefSeq lists it as uncharacterized. The record is from RefSeq and is a predicted model, not a curated record. The transcript is spliced from 5 exons. Lineage: Eukaryota; Metazoa; Chordata; Actinopteri; Labriformes; Labridae.